This 310-nucleotide ribosomal RNA is filed under the name uncultured prokaryote. Its description in RNAcentral is "bacterial SSU rRNA". It matches the Rfam family "Bacterial small subunit ribosomal RNA", at positions 338 to 642 of the family's 1533-position model. The record is from RNAcentral.
CCAACGGGGGGCUGCAGUGAGGAAUUUUGCGCAAUGGGGGAAACCCUGACGCAGCAACGCCGCGUGGGCGAUGAAGGCCUUCGGGUCGUAAAGCCCUGUCGGGCGGGAAGAACGCUCUUGGUCGAAGGACUGGGGGGUGACGGUACCGCCAGAGGAAGCACCGGCUAACUCCGUGCCAGCAGCCGCGGUAAUACGGAGGGUGCAAGCGUUAUUCGGAAUUACUGGGCGUAAAGGGCGUGCAGGCGGGAGAGCAAGUCUGAUGUGAAAGCCCGGGGCUUAACCCCGGAAGGGCAUUGGAAACGGUUUUUCU